This 421-nucleotide ribosomal RNA is filed under the name uncultured bacterium. RNAcentral's name for it is "bacterial SSU rRNA". It matches the Rfam family "Bacterial small subunit ribosomal RNA", at positions 29 to 496 of the family's 1533-position model. The record is from RNAcentral.
AACGAACGCUGGCGGCAGGCCUAACACAUGCAAGUCGAACGCCGUAGCAAUACGGAGUGGCAGACGGGUGAGUAACACGUGGGAACGUACCCUUCGGUUCGGAAUAACUCAGGGAAACUUGAGCUAAUACCGGAUACGUCCGAGAGGAGAAAGAUUUAUCGCCGAGGGAUCGGCCCGCGUCUGAUUAGCUUGUUGGUGAGGUAACGGCUCACCAAGGCGACGAUCAGUAGCUGGUCGAGAGGAUGAUCAGCCACAUUGGGACUGAGACACGGCCCAAACUCCUACGGGAGGCAGCAGUGGGGAAUAUUGGACAAUGGGCGCAAGCCUGAUCCAGCCAUGCCGCGUGAGUGAUGAAGGCCCUAGGGUUGUAAAGCUCUUUUACCCGGGAAGAUAAUGACUGUACCGGGAGAAUAAGCCCCGG